UGGGCGUACAGGGCGUGUAGGCGGGAAUGAAAGUCAGUCGUGAAAUCCCGGGGCUCAACCCCUGGAACUGCGCUUGAAACUUCAUUUCUUGAGGGUAGACGGAGAAAGCGGAAUUCCACAAGUAGCGGUGAAAUGCGUAGAUAUGUGGAAGAACACCCGUGGCGAAGGCGGCUUUCUAGUUUAUUCCUGACGCUGAGGCGCGAAAGCAAGGGGAGCGAACAGGAUUAGAUACCCUGGUAGUCCUUGCCGUAAACGAUGUAUACUUGGUGUAGUUGGUCUCAACCCCAGCUGUGCCGUAGCUAACGCGUUAAGUAUACCGCCUGGGGAGUACAGUCGCAAGGCUGAAACUCAAAAGAAUUGACGGGGACCCGCACAAGCAGUGGAGCAUGUGGUUUAAUUCGAUGCAACGCGAAGAACCUUACCCAGGCUUGACAUUCAGAGGACGUAUACAGAGAUGUAUAUUCCCUUCGGGGCCUCUGGACAGGUGCUGCAUGGCUGUCGUCAGCUCGUGCCGUGAGGUGUUGGGUUAAGUCCCGCAACGAGCGCAACCCUUAUCAUUAGUUGCCAACAGGUAAUGCUGGGGACUCUAGUGAGACUGCCUGGGUUAACCAGGAGGAAGGUGAGGAUGAGGUCAAGUCAGCAUGGCCCUUAUGUCUGGGGCUACACACGUGCUACAAUGGACGGUACAAAAGGCAGCGAAGCCGCGAGGUGGAGCAAAUCCUAAAAAGCCGUUCUCAGUUCGGAUUGUAGUCUGCAACUCGACUACAUGAAGUUGGAAUUG
Molecule: ribosomal RNA, 781 nt
Filed under: uncultured Chlamydiae bacterium
Lineage: Bacteria; Pseudomonadati; Chlamydiota; Chlamydiia
Description: bacterial SSU rRNA
Rfam family: Bacterial small subunit ribosomal RNA
Source: RNAcentral